UCUAUAAGUUUCGAAUAAUAGUUUAUUAUCUGGUAAAAGCAGCAGCCGGCUGGGUGACAGAAAUGGGACCAGUUUCCCAAAUCUGCACACCCCUACUACAGGGUACAUUUAGUAUUUCCCUUAGCUACUUCAUGCAUAUUAAUUAUAUCCUAGACAUAGACAUUCUGCAGGUUUUUGCUAAGUAUUUAAUAGAUGGGUUUUCUUACAGCUAAAGCUAAAGGGUUAUCUCUACAACCGUCAUAAUUCAUGCAUUCUUGGAUGAACAGGCGCCUAAAGAUUUAAAGUUCUACUAUAUUUUAUUCUUAGGAUAGUAAGGAGGUUUUAGGCCUCUUGACUUUGUGAGGGUCUGUUUUAUUUCUUUAUGGGGGUGUAAUUAAGUUUUACAAUCUGUUUGUUUUAUUUUGAUGUAAUCACCCAUUUGUUUCACGAAUCACGAUUAUUUAUAUAUCACAAAAAGUCACUGUGAUAGAGGAACAGGUAAAUAUUAAGAACUUUAGUUUUAGUUGGAGGUUGUGUUUAGCCAUAUUUGUUGGAUUUCUAUGGUGUACACUUGAGCAAGGUUAUAAAACUCCGUGCAUGUUUUAAACAUUGCAGUUGGAGGUAAAUCUGGAUUAUUCAAUACUUCCUCUGCAAAUGUGAAUCUGUCAUUACAACAAUAUAAGUUUGCCCUUUUUUGGAAAUAGAAAUACAGGUUUUAGCAACUGCUGGACAUCUCCACCUUUAUGCAAAAUGUUCCGUGUCUUUAUUUUAGAUUUGGAUUAUGGUGGUUUUCUAACCCAGCCACAGUUCUGCAGUAUAGAACAGGUUCUGGCAUACACACUGUGCCCUAAAGAAAGUUCUGGCUGUAGGUAGAAUGCCAUGAACAAUUCCUUAUUGUCUGAGUGGCUUCAGAGGAAACGUUCAUGAGUUAUUUUCUCAGAUGCAGGUAGACUGUCUUCAAAUAAUGUCAAGUUUCUGUGCUCCUUCUGUCUAAAUUUGAGUUUCCCCAGCCUGCCUGGUUAGGUGUUCCUCAACCAGACGCCAGGAGGAGACGGCAGAGAGAGCCCGGGCUCCCGCAGGGCUGAGCAGCGAGUCAGGGGCUCUACGCCUCAGGGCUUUGGCCUGUGCUGCAAACUCCUCUAACUUCUGCCUUGGAACCAGUGGAGGAGCACCUGGAGCACACCUCGGUGUUCCAAGGACAGAGACUCCCUGACUCACCGUGGCAGACAGGCAAGAGGAGGCCCGGAAGGGAGGGAGCCAGGUGAGAGCAAAGUGCCCCUCCCGCAGCCUGGCAGAGGGGCUGUCAGGGUGGGCAGCACAGGUGCCAUGCCCGGGGCCACUGUCUCUCUCCCUCCAGCAUGCCUGCUGUGCCAGCCAUCAGAGCCUGACCCGGACAUCUGCGGGCAAAAAAGUUUCGUAUUUGGGCUCUGUGUCCACAAGCUCUGCCUGUUUUUUGUCAGCAACUCUCCUGACAUCCCGGUUCAGCGACUAGAAGACUGGAAUAUUGGUGCAAGGGAGAUCCCACAUACAGUCUCCUGGGCAGCACAGCAGGUGAGAGCCUGACAAGAGCAGGGAGAUUUGGGCCAGGCGAGGUUUGCUGGAGCUCAGCCCAGACCCCAAGCAAGAAAGCCCAGCCCUUCCAACCAGCUCUGGCACAAGGAGGAGGCCCUGAGGGUGCUGCUGAUGGGGCUGCUCUGCUCUUUCCAGAGCUGCUGCAUCUGUGGCCAGAGUGGGGCCACCAUCCCCUGCUGUGAUGGCACAGGGGGAAGGCAGGGACACCCUGCACCUGCCCGAUUCCAGGACAGAGGGAGCUCAUCAGUUUUCUUUUCCCAUCAGGCCACCAUCAUGGGAGGGCUUUAAUGCAUUGGCCGAGCUAGAAGAGAGACACAGGCACUGGGAUGCCAGUGAGUGCCUUUGUCCAGGAGGCAGGCAGGAGGCAGAGGAGGAGGGGCCCUGGGAACUGCUCCUGUGCUCCUCCUGUGCUGCCGAGGGCACCCACAGACACUGCUCUGGCCUGGGGACAGCAGAACCAGAUGGGAAUGUGAUGGCUGUGCACUCCCGGGCACAGGUAAAAGGCAAAGCACCCUGCCUCCAGUUAAGACCCAGAGCAUGUUGCUCUCAUGAGGGAGUCUUCUGACGACUUGACAGAAUACGAGACCAUCACCCCCAGUACGAGCAAACUCCAUAGCAACCAACAGGCAACAUCGGAGGAGACUCUGGAAUCCCCCUCCCAGGAGACGAGCAGCUCCAGCCCUGACAGUCAGGUAACAUCGGGGUCGUGUCAGUGUUUCCUGCCUCGGAACCAGUGGAGGAGCACCUUGGAAGAGACCUCGGUGUUCCGAGGACAGACGCCCUGCUGACAUCACCAUGGCAAGCCCCCGAAGAAAGGGAGCAAGCCCCCGAAGAGAGACAGGAAGCCCCUGAACAGAGAGAGGACCAAGCCCCCGAAGACAGGCAGGAAGCCCCCGAAGACAGGGAGCCAGGUGAGAGCAAAGUGCCCCUCCCGCAGCCUGGCAGAGGGGCUGUCAGGGUGGGCAGCACAGGUGCCAUGCCCGGGGCCACUGUCUCUCUCCCUCCAGCAUGCGUGCUGUGUCAGCAACCAGAGGCUGACCCGGACAUCUUGUGCGGAAAAACUCCGGAUAAAUGGUUUCUGUGCCCACCAGUUCUGCCCUCCCAACAGCGAAACCAGUCCCGCCAGCCAACGGGACUGGUCAAUGCAACAGGAGCCACUGGGAGGGACUGGGAGGGACUGGGUGUCAUUAUCUAGUUAACUAAACCAAGUCCCUUCACUAUAAACCUUAGACAAGGUAAAAGGGAGGUAACUUGUUUUAUGUCUUUACAGGGGCCCAAUUAAGUUUUACGAUUUCUUUUUCUUUUCUCUCUCUAGGUUGUGUUGACCUCAGGCUGUUUUCUUUUUAUGUACCUCAAAUCGUUCUCCCUUUUACCUUGUCUAAAAUUUCUAGUGAAGGGACUUGGUUUAGUUAACUAGAUAAUAACACCUUUCUUAAAAGUUGAUAACUGUGUAGAUAACAAGCACCCAUCUGCUCAGUGUCUGACC
Pseudopipra pipra is the source of this 3037-nucleotide long non-coding RNA. RefSeq lists it as uncharacterized. Lineage: Eukaryota; Metazoa; Chordata; Aves; Passeriformes; Pipridae. The transcript has 6 exons. The record is from RefSeq and is a predicted model, not a curated record.